RNAcentral lists this ribosomal RNA (497 nucleotides) under uncultured bacterium. Its description in RNAcentral is "partial 16S ribosomal RNA". It matches the Rfam family "Bacterial small subunit ribosomal RNA", at positions 28 to 507 of the family's 1533-position model. The record is from RNAcentral.
GAUGAACGCUGGCGGCGUGCCUAAUACAUGCAAGUCGAGCGAACAGACGAGGAGCUUGCUCCUCUGACGUUAGCGGCGGACGGGUGAGUAACACGUGGAUAACCUACCUAUAAGACUGGGAUAACUUCGGGAAACCGGAUCUAAUACCGGAUAAUAUAUUGAACCGCAUGGUUCAAUAGUGAAAUACGGUUUUGCUGUCACUUAUAGAUGGAUCCGCGCCGCAUUAGCUAGUUGGUAAGGUAACGGCUUACCAAGGCAACGAUGCGUAGCCGACCUGAGAGGGUGAUAGGCCACACUGGAACUGAGACACGGUCCAGACUCCUACGGGAGGCAGCAGUAGGGAAUCUUCCGCAAUGGGCGAAAGUCUGACGGAGCAACGCCGAGUGAGUGAUGAAGGUCUUCGGAUCGUAAAACUCUGUUAUUAGGGAAGAACAACUGUGUAAGUAACUAUGCACGUCUUGACGGUAACUAAUCAGAAAGCAACGGCUAACUACGUG